UUUUGGUUAAAUUGCAACAUCGGAUUAACAAGGUCCAAUGAGCAAACAUACAAAAAGUCCAACAAAGAUAAUAUAAACAUGUCAAAUACGCAAGCUCAACAAAUACAAGAACCGAAACCCAUAAACUAAAGCAAAAAACCACAAGUCAGAACCAAACUUGAAAAGCCAACCCGAGGGACCAGAGAAACUAGAUCACCAGAGACCUAAACAAAGUAACCAGUUCUUGUAAUAGCAGGACUUAAAGCAUUUUGAAGGGCUGACAAAAACAAAGAUUCGCAACACCAUAGAAAUCGCCGAUUAAUUAAUAAGUCACCACCUUUGAUAUCAACCCAGUCAGACGCUAAACCUCAAAAAUAACAAAAUCAUCAUCAUCGAUUGUCAUCAGGAGGGGAGGCGAGUAGAGCUCAUAACCUCUCAGUCUCUUCGAGAAAUUGGCAAUGUAAAUGCAGAUUCUGCACAUCACGUCUCCAUAUGACAUCAUAGAAACAGGGCCAAGGGUUAAUACAUUUAUGCAUAUAUAAUGCAAAAGCUUUCUACUGGAGACUAG
Molecule: unclassified non-coding RNA, 547 nt
Filed under: Hevea brasiliensis (rubber tree)
Lineage: Eukaryota; Viridiplantae; Streptophyta; Magnoliopsida; Malpighiales; Euphorbiaceae
Source: RNAcentral